This 229-nucleotide long non-coding RNA is filed under the name Lathyrus oleraceus (garden pea). RNAcentral's name for it is "Pisum sativum (pea) long non-coding RNA (PSAT_LNC000080)". Lineage: Eukaryota; Viridiplantae; Streptophyta; Magnoliopsida; Fabales; Fabaceae. The record is from RNAcentral.
UUGAACCAUUGAUCCAGUUUAAAAUGUUUUAAUCACAAGCGUUGGUUUGGAUGACCAGUUGUGUGCCACGUUGACUAAGUUCCAUCAUGGAACGCGCGUUUGUGUCCACUUGAUCUGCCACCUCAAUUAUUGAGGGAGAUCAAGUGGUCCACGUUUUUUUUUGUAUUUUCUGAUUUUUAUUUUAUUCCUUUGAUUUUCAUUAAUUCAUAUUAAUUUUAAUAUUGAUCCA